Molecule: long non-coding RNA, 315 nt
Organism: Bombus impatiens (common eastern bumble bee)
Lineage: Eukaryota; Metazoa; Arthropoda; Insecta; Hymenoptera; Apidae
Exons: 5
Source: RefSeq, a predicted model, not a curated record
AGCGGCACACGAGCUAGAGGAUAAUUCGAAUCGUGUUGUUGUUUUGCUUCGGAGUAUCAACAUCGUUAGGAUAUACAUAAUGUAAUAGUAAACAAACUCCGCGCAAAACAAUAUCGCUGCUACGUGCAGUCGUCAAUGUCGAAUUUAAACUUUCCGGUACUCCCCUGAUCAGUAUAAAUAAACGAACGCGAUCGUAAGAUGACCAGUUCUGUCAGUUUCAGUCUUGAACAAUUUUAUUAGCGAUGAAUACGCAGUCUUUAGCGAAUCAGUUAGUAUCGAGCUUAUUAUAUGUAUACAGAGAGAAAAUGCAUGGAU